Molecule: ribosomal RNA, 251 nt
Filed under: uncultured bacterium
Lineage: Bacteria
Description: partial 16S ribosomal RNA
Rfam family: Bacterial small subunit ribosomal RNA
Source: RNAcentral
ACGUAUGGUGCAAGCGUUAUCCGGAUUUACUGGGUGUAAAGGGAGUGUAGACGGAGUGGCAAGUCUGAUGUGAAAACCCGGGGCUCAACCCCGGGACUGCAUUGGAAACUGUCAAUCUGGAGUACCGGAGAGGUAAGCGGAAUUCCUAGUGUAGCGGUGAAAUGCGUAGAUAUUAGGAGGAACACCAGUGGCGAAGGCGGCUUACUGGACGGUAACUGACGUUGAGGCUCGAAAGCGUGGGGAGCAAACAG